Molecule: long non-coding RNA, 111 nt
Organism: Gavialis gangeticus (Gharial)
Lineage: Eukaryota; Metazoa; Chordata; Crocodylia; Gavialidae
Exons: 3
Source: RefSeq, a predicted model, not a curated record
AGCUAAAUUGUUCUCAGAGGAUGAAGCUGGAUUGUUCUUAGAGGUGGCAGAUGACAGGACAAGGAACAAUGGGCUCAAUUUGCAGCAAGGGAAGUUUAGGUUGGAUAUUAG